RNAcentral lists this ribosomal RNA (376 nucleotides) under uncultured Alphaproteobacteria bacterium. RNAcentral describes it as "bacterial SSU rRNA". It matches the Rfam family "Bacterial small subunit ribosomal RNA", at positions 333 to 726 of the family's 1533-position model. Lineage: Bacteria; Pseudomonadati; Pseudomonadota; Alphaproteobacteria. The record is from RNAcentral.
GAUCUCCUACGGGAGGCAGCAGUGGGGAAUCUUGGACAAUGGGGGCGACCCUGAUCCAGCCAUGCCGCGUGAGUGAUGAAGGCCCUAGGGUCGUAAAGCUCUUUCGCCUGUGAAGAUAAUGACUGUAGCAGGUAAAGAAACCCCGGCUAACUCCGUGCUAGCAGCCGCGGUAAUACGGAGGGGGUUAGCGUUGUUCGGAAUUACUGGGCGUAAAGCGCGCGUAGGCGGAUUGGAAAGUUGGGGGUGAAAUCCCGGGGCUCAACCCCGGAACUGCCUCCAAAACUAUCAGUCUAGAGUUCGAGAGAGGUGAGUGGAAUUCCGAGUGUAGAGGUGAAAUUCGUAGAUAUUCGGAGGAACACCAGUGGCGAAGGCGGCA